RNAcentral lists this ribosomal RNA (469 nucleotides) under uncultured bacterium. RNAcentral describes it as "partial 16S ribosomal RNA". It matches the Rfam family "Bacterial small subunit ribosomal RNA", at positions 28 to 507 of the family's 1533-position model. The record is from RNAcentral.
GACGAACGCUGGCGGCGUGCUUAACACAUGCAAGUCGAACGGAAAGGCCCUGCUUGCAGGGUGCUCGAGUGGCGAACGGGUGAGUAACACGUGGGUGAUCUGCCCCUUACUUUGGGAUAAGCCUGGGAAACUGGGUCUAAUACUGGAUAGGACCAUGCUGUAGGUGGUGUGGUGGAAAGAUUAGUUUCGGUAAGGGAUGAGCUCGCGGCCUAUCAGCUUGUUGGUGGGGUAAUGGCCUACCAAGGCGUCGACGGGUAGCCGGCCUGAGAGGGUGGACGGCCACAUUGGGACUGAGAUACGGCCCAGACUCCUACGGGAGGCAGCAGUGGGGAAUAUUGAACAAUGGGCGCAAGCCUGAUGCAGCGACGCCGCGUGGGGGAUGACGGCCUUCGGGUUGUAGACUCCUUUCAGCCAUGACGAAGCCCUUGUGGUGACGGUAGUGGUAGAAGAAGCACCGGCUAACUACGUG